GUGUCUUCCUCAUGAGUACAAGCACUAAAACUGGAAUUAGAGAACAUUAGUGGCCCCUGUGCAAACUUGAUAGAUUAACUCAUAAAGUGUUCCAUAUUUAA
Molecule: small nuclear RNA, 101 nt
Organism: Cricetulus griseus (Chinese hamster)
Lineage: Eukaryota; Metazoa; Chordata; Mammalia; Rodentia; Cricetidae
Source: Ensembl